Molecule: long non-coding RNA, 570 nt
Filed under: Numida meleagris (helmeted guineafowl)
Lineage: Eukaryota; Metazoa; Chordata; Aves; Galliformes; Numididae
Description: lncRNA (ENSNMEG00000022018.1)
Source: RNAcentral
CUGAACCAGUGAUUGAGCACCUGGUGGGAAGGCAGGGUCAACCCAGGGGAGCUCAGGUGCAUGCAAUGCACCUGAAUGACCAGAAGGGGUAGAUCCUGGCUCCACCCCUUCCCAGACCUCAUUUAAGUGUUGGCAGUAGAGGCAAGACUAUCUAGCUAGUGUUCCCUGCCUAUUUGAGGCCUUCUGAAGGAGGAAGCUACUGAGUUGAAUGAAUAGAUUACUCCCGAAGAAGAAUGUUGGCUCUACCGUCUGCAAAGCAUUGCCAGUUCGUCUGUGAAUCAUUUAUCAGCUUUUGCACCAAAGCCACUCCACUACACUUCAUACAGUGAUGGCUCAUGGAAUGGGCUGGCCAGGAAGAGGAAGACUGCUCUAAGUCUUCACCUGGACUCAGACAGAAGGCAAGCUCUGCCUUGCAGGCAUAAAGCAUAAACUCUUGCAGUUUCUUCAGCAAGAGAAUGAAUGCUAUGAAAUAAGGAGCUAGUUGUUCUCAGGAAAAUGGAAUGGAAAUGAAAUAGAAAAAAGCCAAACUGUUAAAAUAAAGGAAGAAAGUAUAGUCCUUGUGGGGAGAAC